Molecule: ribosomal RNA, 937 nt
Filed under: Trametes sp.
Lineage: Eukaryota; Fungi; Basidiomycota; Agaricomycetes; Polyporales; Polyporaceae
Description: partial large subunit ribosomal RNA
Rfam family: Eukaryotic large subunit ribosomal RNA
Source: RNAcentral
AGAACUAACAAGGAUUCCCCUAGUAACUGCGAGUGAAGCGGGAAAAGCUCAAAUUUAAAAUCUGGCGGUCUUUGGCCGUCCGAGUUGUAGUCUGGAGAAGCGUCUUCCGCGCUGGACCGUGUAUAAGUCUCUUGGAACAGAGCGUCAUAGAGGGUGAGAAUCCCGUCUUUGACACGGACUACCAGUGCUUUGUGAUGCGCUCUCAAAGAGUCGAGUUGUUUGGGAAUGCAGCUCAAAAUGGGUGGUGAAUUCCAUCUAAAGCUAAAUAUUGGCGAGAGACCGAUAGCGAACAAGUACCGUGAGGGAAAGAUGAAAAGCACUUUGGAAAGAGAGUUAAACAGUACGUGAAAUUGCUGAAAGGGAAACGCUUGAAGUCAGUCGCGUUGUCCGGGACUCAGCCUUGCUUCGGCUUGGUGCACUUUCCGGAUGACGGGCCAGCAUCGAUUUUGACCGCCGGAAAAGGGCUGGAGGAAUGUGGCACCUUCGGGUGUGUUAUAGCCUCCAGUCGCAUACGGCGGUUGGGAUCGAGGAACGCAGCACGCCUUAUGGCGGGGGGUUUACCCUACCUUCGUGCUUAGGAUGCUGGCAUAAUGGCUUUAAACGACCCGUCUUGAAACACGGACCAAGGAGUCUAACAUGCCUGCGAGUGUUUGGGUGGAAAACCCGAGCGCGUAAUGAAAGUGAAAGUUGAGACCUCUGUCGUGGAGGGCAUCGACGCCCGGACCUGACGUUCUCUGACGGAUCCGCGGUAGAGCAUGUAUGUUGGGACCCGAAAGAUGGUGAACUAUGCCUGAAUAGGGUGAAGCCAGAGGAAACUCUGGUGGAGGCUCGUAGCGAUUCUGACGUGCAAAUCGAUCGUCAAAUUUGGGUAUAGGGGCGAAAGACUAAUCGAACCAUCUAGUAGCUGGUUCCUGCCGAAUUUUCCCCUCAGGAAACU